RNAcentral lists this long non-coding RNA (1883 nucleotides) under Homo sapiens (human). RNAcentral's name for it is "HSALNT0009340". Lineage: Eukaryota; Metazoa; Chordata; Mammalia; Primates; Hominidae. The record is from RNAcentral.
CAAAACUUGCUUUCAGAUUCUCUAGAUAGCUGAACUGCUAAGUUUGGGUGGGGCAGCUUGCUGGACUCUGCAGUCAUGCUGAGCUGCUAGAUAGGCACUGCAAUCACUGCAUAUCAGGUUGGGCCACAGGGUGUAUUUCCUGGCCAGAUGGUACCACUAUUUGAGUUCAGCGAUUGGAUAGGGUUGCAGGAGGGAUUCCACGCUAGAUUAUAGAAAGAGCACAUUUCAAACUUCAAAUAACAUGAAUGAAAGCCAGAGAUGACUACUACUCCUUGUGAAGAUUUUUGGAAUACCCUUUUAACUAUCUUCUUACUUCCAUUCCUUGUCCUUCUGCAGUUUAUUCUCCACCCAGCAGCCAAAAAGAUCCUUUUAAUCACGAAUAUGAUUAUGUAAUUUCUCUGCUGAAAGGCUCUGAAUGCUUCCCUGUCUCCCAUGAAGAAAAAACUUAACUAUACUAUUGGUGGAAAUAGUGCAGCCAUUAUGGAAAACAAUAUGGAGGUUCUUCAAUGAAAUAGAACUACCAGGUGAUACAGCAAUUCUACUUCUGGGUAUUUAUCCAAAAGAACUGAAAUUAGGAUCUUGAAAAGAUAUUAGCACUCCCAUGUUCAUUGUGGAACCAUUCACAAUAGCCAUGAUGUGGAAAUGGCUUAAAUGUACAUCAAUAGAUGAAUGGAUUUUUAAAAAUGUGGUAUAGAUGUACAACAAAAUAUUACUCAGACUUCAAAAGGAGGAAAUUCUGUGAUAUGAGCCAACAUGGAUGGACCUUGAAGACAUUAUGCUAGGUGAAAUAAGCCAGUUACAGAAGGCCAAAUACCAUAUGUUUCCAUUUAUGUGAGAUAUUUAAAAUAGUCAAUUGAUAGAAGCAGAGUGGGGGCUGAGGGGAGGGGGGAAACAGGAAAUUGUUAAUAAGUGGGUAUAUAAUUUCAGUUACGCAAGGUAAAUAAGUUCUAAGGAUUUUCUAUAAAAUAUUGUGCUGAUAGUUAACUAUACUGUAUUAUACACUUAAAAAUCUGUUUAAGGAGGUAGACUGCAUGUUAAGCGUUCUUGCCACAAUAAAAUUUUUAAAUUACUUUAUUUAUUUAUAAUAAAAUCUUUGUGAUUGCCUCUAAGGCUAUUGCUACACACAGUCACGCUCUUAUCUCAGGGCCUUGGCAAGCCAUUUUCUCUCUGCCUAGAUGUUCUACCCCAAUAUUCUGGUGGUUUCCUAUUUCCUCACCUUCAGAUUUUGCUCAAAUACUAUUAUCCCAAUGAAGCCUACUUUCAGUAUCCAUUUAUGAUUGUAACUCAGCCUCUUAUAAUCCUUAUGCCCUGGCAUUCCUCAUAUCUCAGCAAAACACAAUUUUUGAUUGUUUUUUUCAUAUAACAUCAUCAUAAUCCAUAUCACCUCUAAUAUACUAUAUAGUUUUAUUUAUUUCAUGUUUUUUACUGUCUACCUUCUUCUGUGGGUCUAGGUCAAAGCAAGAAACUUUAAGGUCAUGAUGGAGUAGGGUAAAUAUUAGAAGUAACAGCUAGUCUUGCUCCAUGACAUAUUUUCUGAACAAGAAUGCAGAAUGGCAUAGAUUUGCUUAACAAAAGUUUAUAAUCACUUCCAAAAUAGUGAACAUUCAUGUUCUUAGAAAAAGGUACCUAUAGCAUCCCUGAUUAUAUGAUUCUUAAAGGCUGGAGCAUGCCUUACCUUUUUCUGUAUUCAGAGUCUAUUUGAACAUACUAGUACUAUUAAAUUAAUAUAUAAAAUGGACAAAUAAAUGUUCGACAGGUCCUUAAAAGCUAGAGAAACACUUAUUAUAUUUCCAUCCUUAAAGUCUAUGCUCUGUGAGAGUACUCAUAAUGUAUACACACACGUUACAUAGUAAUGUAGAUGGAAAAGAUACACACAUACGGAC